This 485-nucleotide ribosomal RNA is filed under the name uncultured bacterium. RNAcentral's name for it is "bacterial SSU rRNA". It matches the Rfam family "Bacterial small subunit ribosomal RNA", at positions 28 to 524 of the family's 1533-position model. The record is from RNAcentral.
GAUGAACGCUAGCGGCAGGCUUAAUACAUGCAAGUCAAGGGGGCAGCAAUACAACCGGCGCACGGGUGAGUAACGCGUACACAACAUGCCAUAUACUGGGGUAUAGCUUUGGGAAACUGAAGGUAAUCCCCCAUAACAUUGCGAGAGGGCAUCUGAUUGCAAUUAAAGUCUCGGCGGUAUAUGAUUGGUGUGCGUUUGAUUAGCUAGUUGGUAGGGUAACGGCCUACCAAGGCGACGAUCAAUAGCUGGCGUGAGAGCGCGACCAGCCACACUGGAACUGAGACACGGUCCAGACUCCUACGGGAGGCAGCAGUAGGGAAUAUUGGACAAUGGAGGAAACUCUGAUCCAGCCAUGCCGCGUGAUAGAUGAAGGCCCUCUGGGUUGUAAAUAUCUUUUAUCUGGGAAGAAACUCCUCUAUUCUUAGAGGCCUGACGGUACCAGAGGAAUAAGCACCGGCUAACUCCGUGCCAGCAGCCGCGGUAAU